GCGGGAGUAGCUCAGUUGGUAGAGCGUCAGCCUUCCAAGCUGAGGGUCGCGAGUUCGAGCCUCGUCUCCCGCUCCA
Molecule: transfer RNA, 76 nt
Filed under: Pseudomonadota bacterium
Lineage: Bacteria; Pseudomonadati; Pseudomonadota
Also listed under: 2 other names
Description: tRNA-Gly
Rfam family: tRNA
About the family: Transfer RNA (tRNA) molecules are approximately 80 nucleotides in length. Their secondary structure includes four short double-helical elements and three loops (D, anti-codon, and T loops).
Source: RNAcentral